CAGCCGCCGCGGUAAUACGUAGGUCCCGAGCGUUGUCCGGAUUUAUUGGGCGUAAAGGGAGCGCAGGCGGUCAUAUAAGCCCAUCUUAAAAGUGCGGGGCUCAACCCCGUGAGGGGAUGGAAGCUGUAUGCCUUGAGUGUAGGAGAGGAAAGCGGAAUUCCCAGUGUAGCGGUGAAAUGCGUAGAUAUUGGGAGGAACACCAGUGGCGAAGGCGGCUUUCUGGACUGCAACUGACGCUGAGGCUCGAAAGCCAGGGGAGCGAACGGGAUUAGAUACCCCCGUAGUCCCUGUCUCUUAUACA
RNAcentral lists this ribosomal RNA (301 nucleotides) under uncultured bacterium. RNAcentral describes it as "partial 16S ribosomal RNA". It matches the Rfam family "Bacterial small subunit ribosomal RNA", at positions 509 to 809 of the family's 1533-position model. The record is from RNAcentral.